CUUCAGCAGAGGUCAGUCAGCACAGCAGCAUCAGAGCAGCAUUGGAGGACCGACCUGUGAGCAUCAAAUCCAUCUGGGCUUCACUUGCCCAGGUGCUUUCAUGGAUCCCCUAAGCAGAAGAUCUGUGCACUGCAAAGAUAUGCCUGGAUCAGUGUUUUCCCUUGCCUUAGUUUCAAAGGUGGCAAUUGAAACACAGGCAAGAUUUAGUAAAGGACCAAAGACUCUAAAAGGACCUGCAGCAGAGUGGAGAUGGCAGCUCAGCUGAGCUCCACUUCAGAACCCCCACCUGAAAUCCAUGUGUCCUCCACAGCUGAGUGCCUGAGCACACUGCCUAAAUACCUACAGGUGGCAUCCAGUCUGUGGACCCAAAAAAGAAAGAGUUCUCUCCACUCUUCCUGCUUGUAAACAUAAGCAAACCCUGCAUUCCUUGCUAUUAAAAGACACAAGCUGAGUUACUGCAUGGAUACAGCCCCUGCAGGCAAUCAUGUCCCUUUGCUCUCUAAGAUUUACUCUUGUUUACACCUGCAAAAUCUUUUUCCCCCUGACAGGUAUCAAACGUUACCAAGAGGUCUUUAGAGUUCUCAAGAGACCAGAGCUCCCAGCCUUCAAUGUCAGAAGACAAAGCCAAUUUAACUCAUGAUCUUUGGAACCCUGGGGCUUCACAAAACCCCUUAUCCCAUCU
Long non-coding RNA from Passer domesticus (house sparrow), 682 nucleotides. RefSeq lists it as uncharacterized. The transcript is spliced from 2 exons. The record is from RefSeq and is a predicted model, not a curated record. Lineage: Eukaryota; Metazoa; Chordata; Aves; Passeriformes; Passeridae.